GAAAAGAGGAGUGGCGAACGGGUGAGUAACACGUGGGUAACCUGCCCAUCAGAAGGGGAUAACACUUGGAAACAGGUGCUAAUACCGUAUAACAAUCGAAACCGCAUGGUUUUGAUUUGAAAGGCGCUUUCGGGUGUCGCUGAUGGAUGGACCCGCGGUGCAUUAGCUAGUUGGUGAGGUAACGGCUCACCAAGGCCACGAUGCAUAGCCGACCUGAGAGGGUGAUCGGCCACAUUGGGACUGAGACACGGCCCAAACUCCUACGGGAGGCAGCAGUAGGGAAUCUUCGGCAAUGGACGAAAGUCUGACCGAGCAACGCCGCGUGAGUGAAGAAGGUUUUCGGAUCGUAAAACUCUGUUGUUAGAGAAGAACAAGGAUGAGAGUAACUGUUCAUCCCUUGACGGUAUCUAACCAGAAAGCCACGGCUAACUACGUGCCAGCAGCCGCGGUAAUACGUAGGUGGCAAGCGUUGUCCGGAUUUAUUGGGCGUAAAGCGAGCGCAGGCGGUUUCUUAAGUCUGAUGUGAAAGCCCCCGGCUCAACCGGGGAGGGUCAUUGGAAACUGGGAGACUUGAGUGCAGAAGAGGAGAGUGGAAUUCCAUGUGUAGCGGUGAAAUGCGUAGAUAUAUGGAGGAACACCAGUGGCGAAGGCGGCUCUCUGGUCUGUAACUGACGCUGAGGCUCGAAAGCGUGGGGAGCAAACAGGAUUAGAUACCCUGGUAGUCCACGCCGUAAACGAUGAGUGCUAAGUGUUGGAGGGUUUCCGCCCUUCAGUGCUGCAGCUAACGCAUUAAGCACUCCGCCUGGGGAGUACGACCGCAAGGUUGAAACUCAAAGGAAUUGACGGGGGCCCGCACAAGCGGUGGAGCAUGUGGUUUAAUUCGAAGCAACGCGAAGAACCUUACCAGGUCUUGACAUCCUUUGACCACUCUAGAGAUAGAGCUUCCCCUUCGGGGGCAAAGUGACAGGUGGUGCAUGGUUGUCGUCAGCUCGUGUCGUGAGAUGUUGGGUUAAGUCCCGCAACGAGCGCACCCUUAUUGUUAGUUGCCAUCAUUCAGUUGGGCACUCUAGCAAGACUGCCGGUGACAACCGGAGGAAGGGGGGGAUGACGUCAAAUCAUCAUGCCCCUUAUGACCUGGGCUACCACGUGCUACAAUGGGAAGACAACAAAUUCCCAAAUCGCGAGGCUAAGCAAUUCCUUAAAGUUUUUUCCGUUCGGAUGGAGGUGCACUCGCUGCUGAAACCGAAUCCUAUAAUCCG
This 1259-nucleotide ribosomal RNA is filed under the name Enterococcus faecium. Its description in RNAcentral is "bacterial SSU rRNA". It matches the Rfam family "Bacterial small subunit ribosomal RNA", at positions 85 to 1344 of the family's 1533-position model. The record is from RNAcentral. Lineage: Bacteria; Bacillati; Bacillota; Bacilli; Lactobacillales; Enterococcaceae.